RNAcentral lists this unclassified non-coding RNA (355 nucleotides) under soil metagenome. Its description in RNAcentral is "partial contains 5.8S ribosomal RNA, internal transcribed spacer 2, and large subunit ribosomal RNA". The stretch from base 1 to 120 matches the Rfam family "5.8S ribosomal RNA", at positions 35 to 154 of the family's 154-position model. The record is from RNAcentral.
GAUAAAGAACGUAGCGAAAUGCGAUAAGUAAUGCGAAUUGCAGAAUUCAGUGAAUCAUCGAAUCUUUGAACGCACAUUGCGCCCGCUAGUAUUCUGGCGGGCAUGCCUGUCUGAGCGUCAUUUCAACCCUCGCCCCCGGCUUUUGCUGGGAGCGGUGUUGGGGAUCGGCCGCCCGUCACUGGGAGGCCGGCCCCGAAAUAGAGUGGCGACCACGCCGUGUGCUCCUCUGCGUAGUAGUAAAUCACCUCGCAGGCGGACAGCGGUGCGGCCUGCCGUAAAACCCCCAACUCUUUCUGGUUGACCUCAGAUCAGGUAGGAAUACCCGCUGAACUUAAGCAUAUCAAUAAGCGGAGGA